Equus caballus (horse) is the source of this 4445-nucleotide long non-coding RNA. Lineage: Eukaryota; Metazoa; Chordata; Mammalia; Perissodactyla; Equidae. The record is from Ensembl.
CAAUGGGCCUUGCUGCAUUCCAAAAAAAGUCUAUUUAGAGAAAUGGAUAAUGGGCCCGGUUUGGCCUGCAGGCCAUAACCUCCUGUCCAGAGGGAUGGGGCUUUAGGAGCCUGGGAAUUGAUGCUUCCCCAACCCACCAGGAAGGCCCUAAACCAAUGACUGGUUGGAACUGGUGGAACAGCUCCCUUGCCGUUCAUAGGGAGUAACCGAGGUGCAUGUUCCAUACUGUCUUCCAGAGUUACCCAGGGAGAUUAAGCCCCAUUUUCCCACAGUGAUUACUUGCCUGCUGGCGCACCCUGUAUUGAUUUCCUUACCUUUUGUGUCUCACUUCUUCACUCCCCUACUGGUAUUUCCUGGCAUCACCUCCAAAAUAAACUACUUGCACUCAGUCCUGGCUCAUGUCUUCUCAAUCCAACAUCUCCUCUGGGUACUGUGCAACCUCUUGCUUCCCUUUCUUGGACCAGGAGUUUACCUAUACCCAUCUCUGUUCCAUUUGCUCUGCAACCCACUGCAGUCUGCUUUCUACCCCCAAUGUCUCAGCAAAGUUGUUUUUUCCUAAACAUAUAGGAUGGUCUUCCAUUUUAGUUGGCUUCUGCACAGCUUUCAACACGUUGCCACUCUUUUCUCAGAACUCUCUCCUUCCUUGGCUUCAUGACGUCACUCUCUCUCUGCUUUCCCUCCUACCUCUCUGCCAUUCCUCCUCAAGUUCUUUCUCAGCUCCUCAAAACUCCAAGUGCCCUUUAAAUGUUGAGAUUCCUAAGGCUCCACCACCCCUGGCCUUCUUCUCCUCUUACUCUGAGGUUGCACACUCUCCUUGGAUGGUUCCUUCCAAGUAGGAGUCACAGUUGACUUCCCAGUUGCUCUGUGCCCACAGAGCACAGUCCCAAGUGGCAGAUCUCCACUCCAGCUGCCCAUCAAAUCUCUCCAACAUGUCCUAAACCCAAACCAUUCUUUUCUUGCCCCUCUCUGAUUAAUGUCACGACCAUCCUCCAGUCACCGGGGCCACUUGGAGUCAUCUCAAACUGCUUCCCUUCUUCGUGCAGGAUGCACAGCUCACCACUCAAUCUUGUCCCCCCAGCCUCCUACAGAUCUCUCCUCUCCUUCCCCAGGUCAUGACCCUGGGCUCGGGCCACCAUCCUCUUGUACUCAGAUGGCUGCAUCAGUCUCUUCACCUGUUCCUCUGGCUCCAGAGGCCCCAGUCCAGCCCCUCCUCUGCACUGUUGGCAGAGCAGUUCCUUCCAAAGUGCAAAUAUGAGUCCUUCCUCACUCUGCUGGCAACCCUUCCACGAUCUCACGACCUCAGGUAAGGUUCAGAUCCCUUAACAGGCCUCCAGGAUCCUUCGCGAUCCAGUCCCUGUCCACCUGUCGAGCCUCACCUCCCGCCACUUCGCAUGCUUUAGCCGAGCAGCUCUCCACCCUGGCUGAAUUAUUAGCAUCACCUGGAAAGCUUUAAGAAAAUAUCAGUGCCUUGAUCCCAUCCCCAGAAAUUAUGAUUUACAUGGUCGGGGUGAGGCACAGCCACUGGUAUUUUUUCAAAGCCCCCAAGCGAUUCUAACAUGCAGCCAGAGCUAAGAAGCAAUGGCUUAGAGUUCUGCACAGCUCCCGUGUUCCCCCGUGGCCCCUGUGCCGGUCAUCCCACUCUUGCAACACCUUCCUCUCUCCUUGCUUCACGUGCAUGACAUCUACUUAUCACUUAAAACUUCCCAGUCUGAGUCCGGAGUUUUCCUCUGAGUUUCCUCUGCUUCACCCCAUCAGAGCAUUUAUCACACUGAAUAUUAACUAUCUGUACCGCCAUCUCUUAACAGGUAGUGACCUUCCUAGGACAUCUUUCAUCACUACAACACCAGAGCCUUCCACAGUGGCUCCCUCAUUAGAUGACUCAGUACAUGUUUGUUGAAUGAAUGAAUGACCUCCCUCCCCCUCUGGCCAUAAGAAUAGCAACCUUAUUAUUUUUUCACUGCUCCCUCUUCUUCCCCUAGUUCAAUGCCAAUGCACAUAGUAGGUGCUCAAUAAAUAUUUGUUGAGGGAAUUAAUAAACAUAAGACACUAGAGACGAGCAUCCACCCUGUCCUCAUUUUUACAGGACAGCCCUGGGGAGCAGAGACAAAUUAAAUUGAACUUCCUACAGUUUUGCUAAAAUGGAAUUUGCCAAAGACGUCCUGAAAAAUGGAUUUAAUUAGGCCCAUUAAUAGGGGAGUCAUUGGUGGCUAAGAUUUAAAGCUGAGGCUGGAAGAGGUAUGGGUAAUUUUACCAUUUUAAAUUAUAUAGGACAUUAUUUCUCAGCCCCACCUUAAUUAUAAGAGUGCAUCUCCAUGAAAUCUCAGCUUUGGAGGGAAAUAAAGCCACAGGUAGAGGCAAGAUCUGAUAUUUCACUGCAAUGGAGCAUCAGAAGCAUCCCGGCAGAACGCUAACCAGCUCAGCCCUGUUGAGCGCCAUGUGGGAGCAGGGGGAGCGGCGCCCAGCCAGACCUCAUUACGCUAACGAUUGUCAGUCCAACUCGGUGUGGCGUUUAAUUGCCAUGAAACUCCACAUAGGUUUUCAGAGACUGGCAGACUUCUCGCCUUCACUUCUCCCAUUAGGCUCAGAGACCUGAGUUCUGAGUGGCUCCAUGAUCAGAUCCCAGAAGGGAUGCACCCUUCUUCUUUAGCUCACAGCUGUCCCCUAAUCAUGGAGCCAAGCACAAGAGAUUCAGUCUGGGGUUCCACGUCCUUCACACACAGAGCCCUGAAUACCCACGGGAAGACUGUCUCUUCUCUGGGCACUUAGGAAAUGAGUCUUGAUACAGAGGAGGGCAUCGUUCAUUCCACAGAUCUUCACCGACUGUAACUACGUGGCAGGCACCGUUCCCGACAGAGCUGGGACAAGGGUGAGGCGAGGGUGGCACUCGUCUCAGGGCAAAAUUUAAGAGAGUGCCCAAAACUCGGGAAUCACCAUCAUCGAUAUUUUAAUACAGUACUAUUCAAAACAAAAAUCAAUGUAAAAAUAUCCAUGAUGGACAAAAUAUCAAAAUUUUAACGAUAGACAGGAUCUAAGCCUGCACUUGAGGGCCCUGCCUCGUCCGCCUCCUGCAGUCCCAGCCUGAUUCAGGGUACUGGGGAUGCAGCAGUUACCCGACCCAAGCCCUCUCUCACGGGAAUGCUCGGGCAUGUGGGCGACAAACAUUGAACCAGGUAACCAAAGAAAAUCUUUAGGGCUGGUGAAGGGCGUUAUGGAGGGGAGGGGUUCGCAGAGGAGGGGGUAAUUCCACGGUAAACAUCAAAACCCUGUCCCUAGCCCAGACUUUCUACUGCCCGGUGGAGCAGAAAGAACAGGGACUCCCGAGUGAGUCCAAGGGACGGAUCCCAGCCCCAGCGCCACCUCACUAGGUCAUAGGGCAAGUCACCAGGUCUCCAGGCUCCAUUCUCGCAUGCUGUCAUCUGAGGAGUGGAAAGGCAGAAGUUCACAGUAACAACGACAACACCGUGAGCGGUCACUGCGCACGGAGCCCCGUGUUCACCCCCUCACUGAGCCCUCAUGGAAAUGCGGUGACAGCAGGGUUUCUGUCACGCGGUAAGCUGACACUGCACGUUGAGCAGCUUGGCCACAGCAGAGUGAGGCUCCGAGCUUCCUCAGGCCGAGUUCCCAGCCACAACGUUCGGCACCUCAAACGGAAGCAGGGUUCUGCAUCUGAGUCAUCUUGAGCAAGUCUCUGGAUCUUUCUGAGCCUCGCUGUCCUCCUCUGCAGAAUGGGGAUAAUAACAUGGCUCCCCACAGGACUGAUGAAGCCAGGCUUCCGGCAUGCAGUGGGCGCCCAGUAAAUGUGAGCGCCCCACUCCCCCUGCCCCUGCCCUGGGCCGGCGGAGGCAACACCAGUCCCCAAGGCAAGGGGCAGAAUCAACAGGGGAAGUUCAAAUGCAGCCCAUUUCCUAUUUUCCUGACAGCCUAUUUCAUGGAUCACGGAGACCCAAGUACAGCUGCUUACUCAACGAGGACAGAAUGAAUUCAUUUUCAUUCCUUAAUACCCGAUGUGACCUAUUCUCUGUUGCUCCCUCCUUUCCGAGGCUGCAGCCCUUGCCAUGGACUUUCAAUUCGGCCAGAGAGAGAAAAUGUGCAGUAAUGACAGCAUGUCCUGCCCGGAGAAUGCUGGGAGCCGAAUCACCGCCAUGCAGUAAUAAGUCCAAAUGAAAGAUAUUAUUUACUUUGCUCCACAGUUCUUGUGCUUGAUCUAGGAAUUCUCAUCGCCACCACUCCUCAGGCCGCUUUCUGCUCCUUCCUUCCUCCCCGUCCCCAUCCUUCACCCACGGAAUCCACAGUGAAGAACACGAGAGAAUUAUUUUGCCACAGGUCUCAGGAAGCUGCGUGAUGAGCCCUGAGCAGGAGCGGGUGCCUCCUUGGUGGCCCUCAGCCCUCAGAGAGGCUCACCCCCUUCCAGCCCCCUUAGCCUCCUCCCAGUUCCUGCGCCCCCA